GACGAACGCUGGCGGCGUGCUUAACACAUGCAAGUCGAGCGGUAAGGCCCUUUCGGGGGUACGACGAGCGGCGAACGGGUGAGUAACAAGUGGGUGACCUGCCCUCCAGCUCUGGGAGUAAGCCUGGGGAACCGGGGUCGUAAUACCGGAUAUGACUCCAUGACGCAUGUUGUGGGGUGGAAAGCCUUGUGCGGCUGAGGAUGGGCCCG
Molecule: ribosomal RNA, 209 nt
Filed under: uncultured bacterium
Lineage: Bacteria
Description: partial 16S ribosomal RNA
Rfam family: Bacterial small subunit ribosomal RNA
Source: RNAcentral